GAACGAACGCUGGCGGCAGGCUUAACACAUGCAAGUCGAGCGCCCCGCAAGGGGAGCGGCAGACGGGUGAGUAACACGUGGGAAUCUACCCAGCUCUACGGAAUAACCCAGGGAAACUUGGACUAAUACCGUAUACGUCCUUCGGGAGAAAGAUUUAUCGGAGUUGGAUGAGCCCGCGUCGGAUUAGCUAGUUGGUGAGGUAAUGGCUCACCAAGGCAACGAUCCAUAGCUAGUCUGAAAGAAUGAUCAGCCACACUGGGACUGAGACACGGCCCAGACUCCUACGGGAGGCAGCAGUGGGGAAUAUUGGACAAUGGGCGAAAGCCUGAUCCAGCCAUGCCGCGUGAGUGAUGAAGGCCCUAGGGUUGUAAAGCUCUUUCACCGGGGAAGAUAAUGACGGUACCCGGAGAAGAAGCCCCGGCUAACUUCGUG
RNAcentral lists this ribosomal RNA (432 nucleotides) under uncultured bacterium. RNAcentral's name for it is "bacterial SSU rRNA". It matches the Rfam family "Bacterial small subunit ribosomal RNA", at positions 27 to 507 of the family's 1533-position model. The record is from RNAcentral.